RNAcentral lists this long non-coding RNA (363 nucleotides) under Mytilus galloprovincialis (Mediterranean mussel). The record is from RNAcentral. Lineage: Eukaryota; Metazoa; Mollusca; Bivalvia; Mytilida; Mytilidae.
CCUUAGUCAAAUUUGCUUGGUUCCAAUGUUACCACGAUUGCAAUACAAGAACAAGAUUCCAAAUAACUGAUUGAACCAAACUACAGUGAGAAGGAAUUUUAUUUGUCAGAUAUUGAAAAGUUUCUAAUUUUAUACAAUUACAAUUUCAGUUAUGCUGUAUCUAUUUUUAUCUAUUUAUUAUCCAGUUAUGCUAUUAUCAAUUUGCAUCCAUUUAUUUACCAUCAAACGGCGAAGUAGGUCAUUGGCUUCGGGAAUCUGUUAGCUAGUAGUUACUGCGGUCAGAUUCUUGUUAUUACACAAUAUAACAUUCAGAGUUAUCUGUUAUAUCGACUCUCAAUGUAUGGUACUGGUUGGCGGUAACAA